UCAUUGGAGAUCCUAACUUGGA
Molecule: unclassified non-coding RNA, 22 nt
Filed under: Mus musculus (house mouse)
Lineage: Eukaryota; Metazoa; Chordata; Mammalia; Rodentia; Muridae
Description: oocyte_clustered_small_RNA11838
Source: RNAcentral